AAUAUUCUCUUCGGUAAAUUUUCUCUUACUCCUAUUUAACGAAAAUCCUCUUUACACUAUAUGUAUGUCUAUUGCUAACAUAUUUUAGCUUUUAUUUUAUCAGAUUAUUUUUUUUAUUUGAUGUAUAGUAUGGUAUAGUAUCAUAACCGAUCCUAAUUAAACUCCUCUAGCGAAACAAUUUGGAUGAGUGCAUGCAUGCAUGCCGCUACAAGAGAAAUGUGGAGUGCUACCUUAUAAUCAGAGUUUUUUUUUUAAUUUUAUUUUAACUUUUGAGUCCUUCCCUUUUUAUAUUCUGUGCUUAAUUCUAUUUUGUUAUAUAAUUAAGUUAUGCCAUAACACAAAGGAUGAUAGAAUCAUGUGAGACUAUGCGGGGCUGAUCAGAUGACAAAUCCAUAUUGUAUAUAUCUCCUCAACAUGCCAAUGAUGCAACUCCAUGUGGACAAUAGUAUUUUUCCUACUCUAAAUUGAAACAAAAUAACUCAAAGCCUAGCUACUUAUUAUAGUAUAAAUAAAAUAUGUCCACAGGUAGGGUUGUAGCAAUCAAUGGUUGUUGAAGAUGCUGAAAAAUACAAACCAGAUGUAUGUACUUAAUGCACUUCUAUUUGUUAAUUAUGAAUCAAUGUCCUUUUGUAUCCUUUUGUUCGAG
Molecule: long non-coding RNA, 646 nt
Filed under: Ananas comosus (pineapple)
Lineage: Eukaryota; Viridiplantae; Streptophyta; Magnoliopsida; Poales; Bromeliaceae
Description: long non-coding RNA (ACOM_LNC034882)
Source: RNAcentral